GCGCCCGUGGCUCAGCUGGAUAGAGCAUCGGUUUGCGGUACCGGAGGUCACAGGUUCGAAUCCUGUCGGGCGCACCA
Molecule: transfer RNA, 77 nt
Filed under: Campylobacterales bacterium
Lineage: Bacteria; Pseudomonadati; Campylobacterota; Epsilonproteobacteria; Campylobacterales
Also listed under: 2 other names
Description: tRNA-Arg
Rfam family: tRNA
About the family: Transfer RNA (tRNA) molecules are approximately 80 nucleotides in length.
Source: RNAcentral